Molecule: ribosomal RNA, 2646 nt
Filed under: Shigella flexneri
Lineage: Bacteria; Pseudomonadati; Pseudomonadota; Gammaproteobacteria; Enterobacterales; Enterobacteriaceae
Description: partial 23S ribosomal RNA
Rfam family: Bacterial large subunit ribosomal RNA
Source: RNAcentral
GACGUGCUAAUCUGCGAUAAGCGUCGGUAAGGUGAUAUGAACCGUUAUAACCGGCGAUUUCCGAAUGGGGAAACCCAGUGUGAUUCGUCACACUAUCAUUAACUGAAUCCAUAGGUUAAUGAGGCGAACCGGGGGAACUGAAACAUCUAAGUACCCCGAGGAAAAGAAAUCAACCGAGAUUCCCCCAGUAGCGGCGAGCGAACGGGGAGCAGCCCAGAGCCUGAAUCAGUGUGUGUGUUAGUGGAAGCGUCUGGAAAGGCGUGCGAUACAGGGUGACAGCCCCGUACACAAAAAUGCACAUACUGUGAGCUCGAUGAGUAGGGCGGGACACGUGGUAUCCUGUCUGAAUAUGGGGGGACCAUCCUCCAAGGCUAAAUACUCCUGACUGACCGAUAGUGAACCAGUACCGUGAGGGAAAGGCGAAAAGAACCCCGGCGAGGGGAGUGAAAAAGAACCUGAAACCGUGUACGUACAAGCAGUGGGAGCACGCUUAGGCGUGUGACUGCGUACCUUUUGUAUAAUGGGUCAGCGACUUAUAUUCUGUAGCAAGGUUAACCGAAUAGGGGAGCCGAAGGGAAACCGAGUCUUAACUGGGCGUUAAGUUGCAGGGUAUAGACCCGAAACCCGGUGAUCUAGCCAUGGGCAGGUUGAAGGUUGGGUAACACUAACUGGAGGACCGAACCGACUAAUGUUGAAAAAUUAGCGGAUGACUUGUGGCUGGGGGUGAAAGGCCAAUCAAACCGGGAGAUAGCUGGUUCUCCCCGAAAGCUAUUUAGGUAGCGCCUCGUGAAUUCAUCUCCGGGGGUAGAGCACUGUUUCGGCAAGGGGGUCAUCCCGACUUACCAACCCGAUGCAAACUGCGAAUACCGGAGAAUGUUAUUACGGGAGACACACGGCGGGUGCUAACGUCCGUCGUGAAGAGGGAAACAACCCAGACCGCCAGCUAAGGUCCCAAAGUCAUGGUUAAGUGGGAAACGAUGUGGGAAGGCCCAGACAGCCAGGAUGUUGGCUUAGAAGCAGCCAUCAUUUAAAGAAAGCGUAAUAGCUCACUGGUCGAGUCGGCCUGCGCGGAAGAUGUAACGGGGCUAAACCAUGCACCGAAGCUGCGGCAGCGACGCUUAUGCGUUGUUGGGUAGGGGAGCGUUCUGUAAGCCUGUGAAGGUGUGCUGUGAGGUAUGCUGGAGGUAUCAGAAGUGCGAAUGCUGACAUAAGUAACGAUAAAGCGGGUGAAAAGCCCGCUCGCCGGAAGACCAAGGGUUCCUGUCCAACGUUAAUCGGGGCAGGGUGAGUCGACCCCUAAGGCGAGGCCGAAAGGCGUAGUCGAUGGGAAACAGGUUAAUAUUCCUGUACUUGGUGUUACUGCGAAGGGGGGACGGAGAAGGCUAUGUUGGCCGGGCGACGGUUGUCCCGGUUUAAGCGUGUAGGCUGGUUUUCCAGGCAAAUCCGGAAAAUCAAGGCCGAGGCGUGAUGACGAGGCACUACGGUGCUGAAGCAACAAAUGCCCUGCUUCCAGGAAAAGCCUCUAAGCAUCAGGUAACAUCAAAUCGUACCCCAAACCGACACAGGUGGUCAGGUAGAGAAUACCAAGGCGCUUGAGAGAACUCGGGUGAAGGAACUAGGCAAAAUGGUGCCGUAACUUCGGGAGAAGGCACGCUGAUACGUAGGUGAAGCGACUUGCUCGUGGAGCUGAAAUCAGUCGAAGAUACCAGCUGGCUGCAACUGUUUAUUAAAAACACAGCACUGUGCAAACACGAAAGUGGACGUAUACGGUGUGACGCCUGCCCGGUGCCGGAAGGUUAAUUGAUGGGGUUAGCGCAAGCGAAGCUCUUGAUCGAAGCCCCGGUAAACGGCGGCCGUAACUAUAACGGUCCUAAGGUAGCGAAAUUCCUUGUCGGGUAAGUUCCGACCUGCACGAAUGGCGUAAUGAUGGCCAGGCUGUCUCCACCCGAGACUCAGUGAAAUUGAACUCGCUGUGAAGAUGCAGUGUACCCGCGGCAAGACGGAAAGACCCCGUGAACCUUUACUAUAGCUUGACACUGAACAUUGAGCCUUGAUGUGUAGGAUAGGUGGGAGGCUUUGAAGUGUGGACGCCAGUCUGCAUGGAGCCGACCUUGAAAUACCACCCUUUAAUGUUUGAUGUUCUAACGUGGACCCGUGAUCCGGGUUGCGGACAGUGUCUGGUGGGUAGUUUGACUGGGGCGGUCUCCUCCUAAAGAGUAACGGAGGAGCACGAAGGUUGGCUAAUCCUGGUCGGACAUCAGGAGGUUAGUGCAAUGGCAUAAGCCAGCUUGACUGCGAGCGUGACGGCGCGAGCAGGUGCGAAAGCAGGUCAUAGUGAUCCGGUGGUUCUGAAUGGAAGGGCCAUCGCUCAACGGAUAAAAGGUACUCCGGGGAUAACAGGCUGAUACCGCCCAAGAGUUCAUAUCGACGGCGGUGUUUGGCACCUCGAUGUCGGCUCAUCACAUCCUGGGGCUGAAGUAGGUCCCAAGGGUAUGGCUGUUCGCCAUUUAAAGUGGUACGCGAGCUGGGUUUAGAACGUCGUGAGACAGUUCGGUCCCUAUCUGCCGUGGGCGCUGGAGAACUGAGGGGGGCUGCUCCUAGUACGAGAGGACCGGAGUGGACGCAUCACUGGUGUUCGGGUUGUCA